This 290-nucleotide long non-coding RNA is filed under the name Ananas comosus (pineapple). RNAcentral describes it as "long non-coding RNA (ACOM_LNC023181)". The record is from RNAcentral. Lineage: Eukaryota; Viridiplantae; Streptophyta; Magnoliopsida; Poales; Bromeliaceae.
GAGCAGGGCUGCUGUGCUCUCAGGAGCACGGAGGCCUCCGUGCUCCUGAACCGUUUUCGAUGAUGGAAUUUUCGAAUCGACGAUCGACUCCGUUAGACUUGAUCUAGCGUAUUUGAAGUUUCUAGAAAAUAAUUUUUGUGAUUUUUUGAUAUUAUUUAUCUAGUAAUCAAAAGGAUUCAAAAUCAAUAAUUUUUAACGGCUGAAAAUAAAAAUUCUACAAAAAGUGGUGAUAUAGCACUAAAAUUUUCGAUCAGAAAUAUUGAUCUUGUUGUAGAUAGUAUAAAGAAUUU